RNAcentral lists this ribosomal RNA (263 nucleotides) under uncultured bacterium. RNAcentral's name for it is "partial 16S ribosomal RNA". It matches the Rfam family "Bacterial small subunit ribosomal RNA", at positions 793 to 1055 of the family's 1533-position model. The record is from RNAcentral.
GUCCACGCUGUAAACGAUGGGCACUAGGUGUCGCGGGUAUUGACCCCUGCGGUGCCGUAGCAAACGCGUUAAGUGCCCCGCCUGGGGAGUACGGCCGCAAGGCUAAAACUCAAAGGAAUUGACGGGGGCCCGCACAAGCGGUGGAGCAUGUGGUUUAAUUCGACGCAACGCGCAGAACCUUACCCGGGCUAGAAAACAGGAACCUUCCAGAGAUGGAGGGGUCCCGCAAGGGAAUCUUGGUCCAGGUGCUGCAUGGCUGUCGU